GGAGGAAUCGUUAGAGAUUUUUAGCCUAUAUAUAGGCGUCCUAACUUCGAGUUGUUUGUGACCAAAUCGAGAGAGAGAGAGAGAGAGAGACAGAGUAACUAAGCAUGGAUCCGAGACUAGAGGAAGCAGCUUAUGCGGGAGACCUCACUUUGUUACGGCGUUUGCUACGAGNNNNNNNNNNNNNNNNNNNNCAAUACGAGAGAGAGAGAGAGAGAGACAGAGUAACUAAGCAUGGAUCCGAGACUAGAGGAAGCAGCUUAUGCGGGAGACCUCACUUUGUUACGGCGUUUGCUACGAGAAGACCGGCUCCUGCUCCACAGGCAAGCCAUCGCCGCGGCUCACCUGUCGGACAGCCCCCUCCACAUCGCUGCAUCGCUCGGCCACUCCGACCUGGUCCGGGAGAUCCUCGCCGUAAACCCGGAGCUCGCGCAUGGCCGCAACCGCGAAGGCCUUUCCGCCUUGCACCUGGCCGCUGCCCAAGGCCACUUGUCCGUGGUGAACGAGCUGCUGCAGUACGCAGCCGCUGCCAAUCUCUGCUUGGCGACCGACAACGAUAGCUUCAUGCCCGCCCACACUGCAGCCUUACGAGGCAGGCUUGAUGUAUUGACAGUGUUACUGGAUGCGUGCCCGGAGUCCUUGCGAGCUGUGACAUCGCAAGGUGACUCCAUCCUUCAUCUUACUGUGAAAUCGAACAGCUUCGAGACCGUGCAGUUCUUGCUGAACAGAACAGAUGAAAACGAUGAGCUGCUCAACUCCGGAGAUGCGAAAGGCAACACCGUCCUGCACCUUGCUGUGGCCAGAAAACAGCUCCAGGUAGGUAUUCCUUAUCCCAAUUAGAGGAAAUGAAUUUGUCUUCUUCUUUUCACCAGGUGUUUAUGCAUCUCUGCACCUUCUGAUACGAGAACUUUCCCACAACAAAAGAUAAAUACUCUUUGCAUUUCAAUCAAAAAAAGGCAAAUGGAAAUACCGAGGAACUUCCUGUUCAUAGCUCUGGUAAUACGAUUGAAUGCAGACCGUGAAGUUGCUUCUGGGAAGGAGAGGUAUCGAAGUUAACGCCACAAACAUGAGAGGCGACACCGUCCUUGAUAUGCUACUGGAUUCACCCUGCCAGCUUGGAGAUCUGUUGUUGGGAGAACUGAUUCGAGCAGCAGGUGGAAGAACCACAGCAGAAGAAGGGAAGACUCGGCCGAAAUCGUCACCGGGUGAUGCCAGAGCCUCUGCCACUGUCGCGUCACACAGAAGCCGACCAAAUCGUUCUGAACCUAAAGAAAAGUACAACAACAAACCAGCAACACUAAUGUUGGUGGCGACGUUGAUCGCCACCAUCACAUUCGCAGCUGGGCUGAACCCCCCUGGUGGGUUUAAGCAGAAAGAUGAUGGUGGGUCGACUCCCCCCAUUGCAGAAGUCAAUUUUGAUGAGAGUUCAAGUGAAGGGGAGGCAGUUCUAAAAGAUGAUCUCGAGUUAUUCCUACUGUUCGACAUGUUCGGGUUGUUUGCAUCCUUGAGCAUCAUCCUCUUGUUGAUAUGUUGUGUGCCCAGACAGACUAAAAUGGUGAUGGGAAUCCUAAAGUGGAUUCUAUGGCUGGCGGUGUUCUCGACGGCAUUAGCAUUCUCGACCGCCAUUGUGCGAAUAUUUUCCUAUCAGCUCUACACUGUCAUCCUUCUCAUGAGUUGGUUCGGAAUUCUCAGUCUCUUCAUGAUUUGGGUGUGCUUUAGAGCGAUCAGAGGCUUGUUGCGCAAAGGUGGAUGCUGGAAGAAGAAAGAUGGAGAAGGAGAAAGCCAGGGAGUCCCCACAAGGGCCGUUGCCAUCCGCACGAAGAUUGUGGUGGGCGCGUUGAUGAUAAUUAUCUUUGGAGUAGUUCUUAUUGUAAAUUAUUUAGUGUUUGUUUAUAUAUUAAAUAUGCCAAAUAAUAGAAUAAUAUGAUCUAUCAUUAUUCUUAUAUGGUUUAUCCUUUAUCAUCCUUUAAAGUUACUUUAUCUUAUUUUCAGAAUGUAAUUUGCUUUAAUCAUUAUUAACUUUGGUUUUGUUGUUACAGAUGAUUUAUUAGAGUUUUGUGGAACAUUAUAUCUCUUACAUAUUAAUGAUGUAUUUAUUUAAAAACACUGGAUUCAGCAAAUCUAAAACUAAUCAAUAGUACAAUGAUGCACUAAUAUAUUUAUAAAAUCUUAAAUAUCUGAAUCAUUAUCCAUACUUGAAUAAUUUAGAACCGACAUAAUAUUAAAUGGUGCAUAAAAGAUAACAAGGAUUUAAUGUAUAGAAUUAUCAAUUAUUAACAACUGUGUGCCUAUACUUAUGUUGCACUUCAAAAAAAACAUAAUUAAUCCUUCAUAAAUACUUUUUUUUUAUUAUAUGAAAGGAAUUUAGAAUAUCUUUUAUGUCUAAUUUGGAUUUUUUUCUGUAUCAACUAUAAUAUUUUUAUAUUAUUACUAUUUUUAUUUAAUUUUUUAGGAUAUUCAUUUUAUUUGGAAAAAUAAUGAAUGUAUUCUUCAAAUAUGUAUUAUGCAACCCCUCUGCUACAUGUUUUUAUUGUCAUCAACUCUUUCGGUGGUUAUUAUUAUUAUUAUUAUUAUUAUUCUUUUAAAGGCUGAUGUCACAAUUUAUUGUUCAAUUACAUUUAUUUUUUUCCUUUUCAUCAAGCUUUUAAAAUUUGUUCUACGAUGAAGAUGGAUUUACAACUAUAGACUUGUCAUAAGUUUUUUUUAUUUUUAUUAUAAAAAUAAGUAUUAAUUACUCUUAUAUAUGUUAUAUGUAUAGUAAUAUGGUUAAAUUCCCCAAAAAUCAAAAUUCAAUAUACAAAUUUAUAAUUUCAUAAUAAAAUUACAAGUUAUCAUCAAUUUCAAGUGAAAUUAGUAGGGAGAACCCACCUCAAUCAUAUAUCACAUGACUAUUAGCUCAGCAUAAAGAACAAACCUAUGUCAUAUGAUAGACACCUAAGUCCCACAAAAAAAGGCUUGUUAUAAAGAUUCUUCAAUUUACUAUUAUCAAUAUCAAUUACUGUUUACUCAUGAUUUCACUUUUUAUUUCAAUCUUAAUUUGAGUAUAGAUGGGAUUAGAUGAGACGCCCAACUUUAUCUUUUUUUACAUUGAUCAUCGAAUAAGCAAACAAGCAUUAGAGUCAUCCUUUUAGUUGUCUUUUUCUCUCAAGCAUGAUCACAAUUUUACUAUGCUUAAUCCGAGAUACGAUAACAGUUCCACCGACCCAUCCAUUCGAAGUCGAAGAAUCAUCCAUAUGACACAAAGGUUUUUUAAAUAUGUCAACCGUUUUAACCCUAAGUGUCAAAUAGGUGUUAAUUAUGUGACAUUGAUGAAUUGUGUCAAUCAUGUGAUAUGAAGGUAUAAUCCACAUGAUGCUAAAGUAUCGAUCAUAUCUUUAUUCCUAUAUUAUAUUUUAAUAUAUUUUAUUAAAUGACUCAGAUAACUUGAUUUAUAAAGAUUUUGACUCUUAAUCGGAAGAUUAUAUAUUCACAAUCAACUCAUGUAUUUUAAUGCCAUAAUAUUUUUAAAAAAUACUAUUGUAAAAAAUAGAAUGGAGGAAAAAAUGAAAAUAUAAAAAGUAUAAGCUUGAGUUUUUUCCCAUAAAUAUAUCCUCCUUUACGAAAGAUGAUGCCUAUGGUCCGAUCGCACUUGACGUAGAAUAAUAUUUAGCAGUUAAAAGUGGCACCCCUAAUAGUUCCAUGUUAGGAAUCCUAACGACAAGUCCACUAAAAGUCACUAAGCUAAGGUAAUUAAGAUAUUAAAGUGAUCAAACCACAAGCAUAUGCAUUGUUUUGUAUCUUUCUUUGCAAUCAUAAGAUAAUACAUUAUUUUAGUUAGGUUAGAAACUAAUCCAAAUCAAAUAUUAGGACAAUCUUUUUGCCUCUCAUGCAACCUUGAAUCAAUACCUCUUAUGGUCAAAGUCUUCAAAUAGACUUCGUACAAGUCAUUGUUAAUUGUUGGCCUCAUGUGAAGUGCUCUGACUCAUCAUGCAUGAACUUGAAUGGAUGAUAGAGCAACGAGGGAAUGAGACAUGCAUCUACAAUAAAAGAUUUGAGCAACGAGGGAAUGAGACAUGCAUCUACGAUAAAAGAUUUGGUUGACGUAAAGAGCCACCGAAUCAUGGUGACAUAGGUCGUAAGACUCGAGUCUAGUUGGAUAAUGACUCAUACGUAAAUUAGAUAUUUGGUCUCCAUACCCAACUAAUUAGAUCGAAUUAAGGUGUUUUAUAAGCUAAUAAUGCAAUAAUACAUCCUUUGAGCUUCAUCUUUUCAGUCGCUUAAAAAUAUUUCUUCUUUAUCCAAACUUUAUAUACUCCUUGAAACUCUGAAAUCUAACCUAAUAAUGCAAUAAUACAUUCUUCGAGCUUCAUCAUUCGAUUCACUUAAAAAUAUUUCUUCUUCGAGUCAAACUUUAUAUUCUUCUUAUAACUUUGAAACCUUCUUAUGCAAUACAAGCGAAGACUAACAUCGAGAGACUAUGGGGCUAUGAAAACUUCAUAACUAAUUUAGAUUUCAUAUUCUCCAAAGACUAAUGUUGAAAAUAUAUUUAAUAGAGUCCUUCAAUACUUAACAUACAUCUUUAAAUAUCUAAGAUAAGAGAAAGAAGCAAAAAUAAAUUGAUAGCUCGAAUUCUAGAUGAUUGGAUGAAUGUUUUACGUUACAAUCCAUAGUAACAUGACAAUGUUUUUUGUUCUUAGCCUAUUGACUCCGAACAAGAAAGUUGAUGAUUGGUAAACAAAGAAAAUUAUGAAAUCAUAAAGAAUUCAUCUUUCAUUUUCGUUGCCAUCUUAAUGGAAAACUAUGCAUCAACUUCUGGGAAAGAAAAGAUUAGAACUUUGUGAUGUUAGGUAGAAAGCCACAGUGAGGACUUACAAGACCAAUUUGGCACCACAAGCUAUUGGUCAUUGUCUAUAUCAUGCAAGGACAUGAGGAGGAACAUCUAGAAUAGGAAGUUGGACCACUGAACAACUUUCUAUCUUGUGGUUUCCAUGGAUUCUUUUACUUAUGAUUAAUAAUUCCAUUUCCUAAAGUUAGAUGCCUCUUCAUUGAUUUCAAUUAAUGGUAGCUGCUUUUUGACUUGCUCAUUUUUGCAAGUCAUGGGACCUAUGUCAUAUGAUGUACUCAUGCGCCAAAGCUUCUUCCAAAACGAAGGAGAGUAAUCUUUUUUCUGUCUUUUUCUCCUUUUUUUUUUGGAAUUAAGAUAUUCUUAUAAUUUUUCUCUACGUUGGUGUAGUUUUUCUUUCUCAAAAGAAGCAAUUAUACCUCCUAAUUUGAUUUAGGGUUUCACUUAAAAGGGUAAGACUGUAGGCUAUUAAAACUCACUAUCAGCUGAAUCUGAUGGGUUGUCAGCCCGUCAGCCCAACAGUUUAUGCAUCUCUGUACCUUCUGAGACGAGAACUUUCUCAUAGCAAAAGAUAAAUACUCUUUGCGUUUCAUUCAAAAAAAGCUAGUGGAAAUACUAAGGAACUUCCUGUUCAUAACUCUGGUAAUACUAUUGAAUGUAGAACGUGAAGUUGCUUCUGGGACGGCGAGGUAUCGAAGCUAACGCCACAAACAUGAUAUGCUACUGGAUUCACCCUGCAAACAUGGAGAUCUAUUGUUGGGAGAACUGAUUCGGGCAGCAGGUGGAAGAACCGCCGCAGAAGAAGGGAAGACUCAGCCGAAAUCGUCACCGAGCGAUGCCAGAAGCCGACCAAAUCGUUGGUGAUACGGCAUAUUUUGGCGCCCAAGACAUGCUAAGUCAGAAUCCGUACUAAGGCACUACUCGACCUCGGAAACCCCAAGGCGACACCGUCCUUGAUAUGCUACUGGAUUCACCCGUCGCCUCACACAGAAGCCGACCAAAUCGUUGGUGAUACGACAUAUUUUGGCGCCCAAGACACGCUAAGUCAGAAUCCGUAGCACUACUCGACCUCGGAAACCCCAAGACGACGCCGCCCCCGAGACACGCCAAGUCAGAAUCCAUACUAAGGCACUGCUAGACACGUCCACCACGCCAACCUACGUACGACUGACCCACGUACAGUAAUAUAAAGACCUCUAGCCAGUAUCUGGCAGGGGAAGGAAAAAAUCAAUGGAUCACUCCACUGACUUGCUCAUCAGAGGGGCCUCAUCAGGUGAUCCUGACGAGAGCCAUUUUUGUAGGAAAACGUGGUCACCUCACGAAGACGAGCUGCCAGCCACCCUGGAGAGGGAGAGACGUAGCUCGGCAUACACAGUGCCCGGAUCGGCACACCAAGGAACGCUGAUCCACACAUCGUCACGAGGGCCUGGUCGACCUCGACAUCCAGCUCAGCCAACAGAAGACUCCCGACAUCGACCAGUGAACCAGGCUGUGCUGACUCACUAGUCACGACACAUUUGUUCACUAACAUUUUGGUGCUAGAAGGAGGGCAUGUCGCAUGAGCAUCCCGCGGGAGCUAUCCCCGAGGGAGAACCACUGGCCGGUCACCCUUUUGUCGGGCCCGGAGAUCAGCCCCUCCCCAUCCUUCGAGAUGGGGGGGAUCCCGGUCUCGACGCUAGAUCAUUGCUGGCGCCCGAGACCAGGUCGGGACAGGAGAAGCCCAAGACCAAAUGAUGGACCCGAGAGGUCCGCCCGAGCAGAGCAUACCCACACAUUGCCGAGUCACACUACCCCACUUCGAGCCUGACACUGUAUCAUCUGACUCGACGGACGACUCGCUUAGGGCCCAAUUGUCCUGGGUCAACCAACGUCUGGACGUGUUCCAGCGUGAGUUUCGAAAAUCGCAAGGCGAGUCCAGCGAAGGUGACUCGGGCGAGUCCCCUUUCACUUAGGAAAUAUAGGGUAAGCCGGUACCUCUCAACUUCAGCCUACCGACAUUGGAGACAUACGAUGACAGCUCUGAUCCCAUGGAUCCAAUGCCGAGUUGCAUCUCGGCCAAUCCAACGCCCGAGUCGUAUCUCGGUCAACCCAACGCCUAAGUCACAUCUCGGCCAAUCCAACGCUCGAGUCGCAUCUCGGCCAACCCAACGCCCGAGUCACAUCUUGGCCAAAUCCAGCAUCUGAGCCAUGCAUCUCGACCAAUCCAACACCCGAGUCUACUCUCGGCCAAAUCUAGCAUCCGAGCCACACACCUUGGCCAUCCAAUGCCCGAGCCAUGCAUCUCGGCCGAUCCAACGCCCGAGUCGCAUCUCAUCCAAAUCCAACGUCCGAGCCACACACCUCGGCCAAUCCAACGGCCAAGCCAUGCCUUAAUCGCACCUCGGCCAAUCCAACGCCCGAGCCAUGCCUCAGUACACCUCGGCCAAUCCAACACCUAAGCCAUGCCUCAGUCGCAUCUCAGCCAAUCUAACUCCCAAGCCAUGCCUUGCCAGACUAGUCCAUUAUCCGAGUUGCCCCAUGUCAAUCCCCAACUCACUACUCGUCAAAUCUCAAACCGAGUCACUCUAGCUCGCUCGCCAACUUGCAAACUCGGCAGCCGUAACUCUGGGCCGUGCCAAACCCGUUAUCCGACCUACGACACGUCAGUUUCGCCUCAUCGGUUUUGCCUCAUCAGGCUCCUGCCGCCCGAUCAGCAGAGUCAAUCCUGCCCAAAGCACGAGGCGUUGUCCCUCUAAAUUGCCCCACGAUGAGUUAAUCCAACUUCCCCUCAUGAGCCAUUAGCCUCACUCCGACCCAAGCAUGCCGCCCAACCCUUUAAGGACCCUACGACACGCCUUAGAGGGGGGGAGAAGUGAUACGAUAUAAUUUGGCCCCCAAGACACGCCAGGUCAGAAUCUGUACUAAUGCAAUGCUCGGCCUUGGGAACCCCGAGACGACGUCGCUCCCAAGACACGUCAGGUCAGAAUCUAUGCUAAGGCACUGCUUGGCACGUCCACCACGCCAACUUGCGUACGAUCGACCCACAUACAGUAAUAUAAAGACCUCUAGCUAGGUGGGGAGGAGGUAAAAAACAAAUCAAUCGGUCACUCGACUGACUUGCUCGUUGGAGGGGCCUCGUCGGGUGAUCCCGACGAGGGCCAUUUUUGUAGGAAAAGGUGGCCACCUCAAGAAGACGAACUGCCAACCACUCGAGAAUCGUCGUCCAGUGCACGAAGGAGAGCAGCCAACCAGCCCGGAUCUCGACUAACGCCAACCAGCACCCCUUCCCGAGGGCGCCGCCACCUCACGAAGACGAGCUGCCAACCACUCCGGAGAAAGAGAGACGCGGCUCGACAUACACAACGCCCGAAUCAGCACACCAAGGAACGAUGAUCAACACUCCGUCGUGAGGGCCCGGUCGACCUCGGCAUCCAGCUCAGUCGAUAGAAGACUCCUGACAUCGACCCGUGGACCGGGUCGUGCUGACUCAUCAGCGACAACACUUUUUUUCAUAACAGGUGUGCUUUUGAGCGAUCAGGUGCUUGUUGCGCAAAGGUGGAUGCCGGAAGAAGAAAGAUAGAGAAGGAGAAAACCAUGGAGGCCCCAGAACGGGUGUUGCCAUCUGCACGAAGAUUGUGGUGAGCAUGUUGAUUAUAAUUCUUUUAAGAAUAUUUUUUUAUAAAUUUAUUAGUGUUUAUGUACAUAAGAAAAGGAUCAAUAAUAGAAUAAUAUGACAUCAUUAUUCUUAUAUGGUUUAUCCUUUAUCAUCUUUUAAAGUUACUUUAUCUUAUUUUCAGAAUGUAAUUUGCUUUUCUGUUUUUUUUUCCACGGUAUAUAGUUAGUAAAUCUGUAACUUUAAUCAUUAUUAACUUUUGCUUUGUUGUUACAGAUGAUUUAUGAGAAUUUUGUGGAACAUUAUAUCUCUUACAUAUUAAUGAUGCAUUUAAAAACACUGGAUUCAAAUCUAAAACUUGAUUAGUACAAUGAUGCACUAAUAUAUUUAUAAAAUCUUAAAUAUCUGAAUCAUUAUCCAGACUUGAAUCAAUUAGAAUCAAUUAGAAGCCGAUCAAAUCGUUGGCACCCCUUCCGACGCCAGGCUAGACCUUCUAAGGAUGACCGCAGCCCCCGAAAAGUAUGGUCUGAACUUAAAAGAAAGGUACAACAACAAACCAGCAACACUAAUGGUGGUGGCGACGUUGAUCUUGAUGGGAUUUCAAGUGAAGGGGAGGCAGUUCUAAAACAUGGUCUCAAGUUAUUCCUUCUGUUCGACAUGUUCGGGUUGUUUGCAUCCUUGAGCAUCAUCCUCUUGUUGAUAUGUUGUGUGCCCAGACAGACUAAAAUGGUGACGGGAAUCCUAAAGUGGAUUUUAUGGCUGGCGGUGUUCUCGACGGCAUUAGCAUUCUCGACCGCCAUUGUGCGAAUAUUUUCUAAUCCGCCCUACACUGGCAUCCUUCUCCUGAGCUGGUUCGGAAUCCUCAGUCUCUUCAUGGUUUGGGUGUGCUUUAGAGCGAUCAGGUGCUUGUUGCGCGAAGGCGGAUGCUGGAAGAAGAAAGAUGGAGAAGGAGAAAGCCACGGAGGCCCCAGAAGGGCCGUUGCCAUCUGCACGAAGACUGUGGUGGGCGUGUUGAUAAUAAUUCUUUUAGGAGUAUUUUCUAUUGUAAAUUAUUUACUGUUUGUUUAUAUAGCGACAAGGUCAAAUAAUAGAAUAAUAUGACCUAUUAUUAUUCUUAUAUGGUUUAUCCUUUAUCAUGUUUUAAAGUUACUUUAUCUUAUUUUCAGAAUGUAAAUUGCUUUUCUGUAAACUUGUUCCUGUACGUCAUCUUCUAUAUAAAAAUUAAUGGAAGUUCAUUUUAGUGUGUUUUCCAUUUGCUUUUCUGUAAACUUGUUCCUGUACGUCAUCAACGUCAAUCCUGACAUACUUUUUUUUGUUUUGCAAGAAAGGAAAAAAAUUAUUUAUUAGAUAGCAUGGGUACAAAAGUCACCUUAAAGAUAUGAGAUAAUAAUCAAAAAAAGAAAAGUUCUGAGAGUCACUCUCCUCACCUAAAAAUAGUAAUUAGAUGCACUCGGCAAGCCCCAUAGUCCCACAUCGAGAAAAUCAAGUUUGAUAUCUCCUGUUUAAACUAUAAAUAAGGGCCUAGGCUUUGAAGUCAAAUGCACCACAAGUGGCAUCAUAAGAAAACCUAAGUAUUUGCUUUGGUUUUAAGUCCACACUCAGUUAAAUAGUUUGGGCUUAUUGAUGAGGUUUUUCUUGUUUAGUAUUUUUGGGUGUUUUAUGGCCUAGGAACAUCUUCCUAAGGCACCGUACUACGUAAAUCUGAUGUUCUUGUCGCUUUUAUCUUUUUGCUUUAUUUUCUUUGUUGUGUUGUCAAAAUUAUCUUGUGGUAAAUUUUCUAUUUUCUAGGGCUAGCUCUAAUAGUUGGCUCCUCUAUUAUAUUCAUGUUAUACAUGUGUGAUCAAGAAAGAGUGAAACAUCUUAACAAUAGCAAAAUCUCAUCAAGAUGCUCUAAGAAAAUUGAGAUGUGCCACUUAGGAUGUCCACAAAGCACUUAAAAUCAGUUUCAAUAUCAAUACGAUUAAAACCAUCGAAUAAGAUUUUAGAGAGUGUAUGAUGAAUAGUUGCUGGUUCAUCAGCACUUAAAAUGACGAUUAGAAGAGAAUGCUCCAUCUCCUCCAAUAUAUGCAACUAGAAAAAAGAACACCACUAGUAUUAAGAUGAAAAAACUGGUACCCUCCUUGUCAUAUUGAUUGAAAGAGCUAUCACAGUUUAAUUUUAGCCACCUAAAUUAAGACCUAGUUCAAGAGAUCGUUUCAUAGAAACUUUAGAAUGAUCCUAUAAUAAUAAAAAAAAAAUUAUCCUAACAAAGAUAGUAUUAGAAGAAGCUUUGAGUUGCUAAAAGAUCCAAUUUGAAGGAGGAAAAGAGGAAGAGAAGUGUGAUUUUGANNNNNNNNNNNNNNNNNNNNCACAAAUAGCUUCCAACACUAACUAGAGUUGAAAGGGGAAGGGGCACUCUAAGAUUGGAUAGUGCCAUACUUAGCAUAAGCAACCUUGACCCAAACGAUAUCAGCACUAUUAGGAAGAUAAAAAAAUUCUUUUGACAUGCAAUGCAUAUUUGGUUAUGUGCAUGUCCUUGAUGCCCAAGCCACUAAUGAACUUAGGCAAAGUGAUGGUGUCCCAAGAAAGCAAGUAAAGAGACCUUUAGAGUUGUCAUGGUUGGACCAAAGGAAUAUGUGGGUUAAUGAAGAGAUUUUAUUAAUAACAGUAGAAGGAGACACUUAAGGAGUGUAUAGGGAUGGAGUUUAAGUACAAAUUAAUCAAGGUGACACAACCAGCUUGUGAUAGAAGGGAGCCUUGCCAUUUACCAAACUUGCUGGUAAUCGGUUGAAUGAUACUAUUUAUACUAGAAAUCGAAAUGUGAGAAGGGACAAUCCAAAUAUUCACAAUAAAUGAAAGAUUUCGACUGCUAAUAUAUUGAUAAACAUUUCUUCAGCGGAUCAUUGAAAUGGAGACGCCCUGUGUAGAUUUUUUGUUCCGCUCCCAUCUUUCUUUCGCUGAAACUACUUGGAAAGGGAUGAUGGAGCCAUGUCGGCUUGUCCCGAAGCGUGGAUGAUUUUUUUUUCUUCUUUUGAAAAGUAAAGAAGAUUAUAUUAGAUCAGCUAAAGCUGCAAAAUCCGAAGAGGUCAAAGUCGUCCAACGAAGACGAGAACAAAAAAAGGUGAUUAUUCAUCCAAAAAAAAUUAGCAUGGUCGUAAGCGACAAGAUCGAGAAAGCGAUCAAAAUAUUUAAACCGGACAACUUGAAGGAAACCGACGACCGGGAUAAUGGUGUGGAGACCCACGAGUCUCGCUGUUAGGGUUGAAGAAGUUGAUCAGCCGGACAGGACACCAAGGUGAUGUUACGUUAAAGCGUUCAGCAUGCAGUCCCGUGAGCACCGCAAUCCAAUCCGAUGAAAUGAUGACUUCGGCAAAAACAUCCAUCCAAUUUUUAUCCGAACAAUUGCGCACGCUGUUGCUAUCCCACUCGCCGUUCGGCUUUCGUCUCCCUCGCUGCGUUUCCAACGCAUCGAUUCCUUGGGAUAAGUUAUUUAAACGGGACUGCAGUGGCCACUGUGAGCUCGAUGACCAAGUCGUCUCUUUGGCGUCUGGUGAGGACAGGCUGUACAAGAAGGAGGAACUGCUCCAAUCACAAGCCUCCAUAUCGAUUUAUCUGCAAGCUUGUUUUCAUUCAUCCAUCCCUCCCUCCCUCCUGAUGUAUCAUCAGCCAGAUGGAAGGAUAGGGUGUUGAUGAGGUAUGUUUCGCUGAAACUAAUUAAAAAUUUAAGUGAAGAUAGGUUUUAGGAAGAUAUUAUUGUAAUUAGAAGAAAAGUUAGGAAAAGCUAUAUCAUAAGUCCAUCAUGUUUCGUCAACAUUCUCAAACACAAAUACCGCACGUCGACUGUCCCAGUCUCGCUUCAUUCUCUAGGUAGUUUCGGCGAACGAGAAAGCAAGCUGAGCAAAAGUAUUCUGCGAAGUCCAGACCAAUGGGAUGCAAGACGAGAAGAAGCAGCUUACGUUUUGGAGACGACUUGGUCAACAAGGCCGGCGUCUUGAUGGAGACUGGACCAAGAAGACCGAGCGGGAGGAAUCGUUAGAGAUUUUUAGCCUAUAUAUAGGCGUCCUAACUUCGAGUUGUUUGUGACCAAAUCGAGAGAGAGAGAGAGAGUGUGUGUGUGUGUAACUAAGCAUGGAUCCGAGACUAGAGGAAGCAGCUUAUGCGGGAGACCUCACUUUGUUGCGGCGUUUGCUACAAGAAGACCGGCUCCUGCUCCACAGGCAAGCCAUCGCCGCGGCUCACCUGUCGGACAGCCCCCUCCACAUCGCUGCAUCGCUCGGACACUCCGACCUGGUCCGGGAGAUCCUCACCGUAAACCCGGAGCUCGCGCAUGGCCGCAACCGCGAAGGCCUUUCCACCUUGCAC
RNAcentral lists this long non-coding RNA (12752 nucleotides) under Musa acuminata (dwarf banana). RNAcentral's name for it is "long non-coding RNA (MACU_LNC006395)". The record is from RNAcentral. Lineage: Eukaryota; Viridiplantae; Streptophyta; Magnoliopsida; Zingiberales; Musaceae.